GUAGGGAAUAUUGCGCAAUGGCCGCAAGGCUGACGCAGCGACGCCGCGUGGGUGAUGAAGUUCUACGGAAUGUAAAGCCCUGUUAGAAGGAAAGAACAGAUCUUAAGUAAAUAAUUUAAGGUUUUGACGGUACCUUCAGAGAAAGCUCCGGCUAACUCCGUGCCAGCAGCCGCGGUAAUACGGGGGGAGCAAGCGUUGUCCGGAAUCACUGGGUGUAAAGCGGAUGUAGGUGGGUCAGUAAGUCAGAAGUGAAAUACAGCGGCUUAACCGUUGAAUUGCUUUUGAUACUACUGGUCUUGAGUGCAGCAGAGGAAAGCGGAAUUCCAGGUGUAGCGGUGAAAUGCGUAGAUAUCUGGAAGAAUACCGGUAGCGAAGGCUGCUUUCUGGGCUGCUACUGACGCUGAGAUCCGAAAGCGUGGGGAGCAAACAGGAUUAGAAACCCCAGUAGUCC
This 451-nucleotide ribosomal RNA is filed under the name uncultured bacterium. Its description in RNAcentral is "bacterial SSU rRNA". It matches the Rfam family "Bacterial small subunit ribosomal RNA", at positions 354 to 796 of the family's 1533-position model. The record is from RNAcentral.